RNAcentral lists this ribosomal RNA (497 nucleotides) under uncultured bacterium. RNAcentral's name for it is "partial 16S ribosomal RNA". It matches the Rfam family "Bacterial small subunit ribosomal RNA", at positions 28 to 507 of the family's 1533-position model. The record is from RNAcentral.
GAUGAACGCUGGCGGCGUGCCUAAUACAUGCAAGUCGAGCGAACAGACCCGGACCUUGCUCCUCUGACGUUAGCCGCACGCGGGUGAAUCACGCGUGGGUUCCCUCCCUCUCAGCCUGGGAUACCUUCGGGACACCGGCGCUUACCCCGGAUAACCUGUUCAACCGCAUGGUUCUACAGUGAAAUCCGGUCUUGCUGUCACUUAUCGAUGGAUCCGCGCCGCAUUAGCUAGUUGGUAUGGUAACGGCUUACCAAGGCACCGAUGCGUAGCCGACCUGAGAGGGGGAGCGGCCACACUGGAACGGAGGCACGGUCCAGGCGCCUACGGGAGGCAGCAGUAGGGAAGCGGGCGCAAGGGGCGAAAGCUGGACGGAGCAACGCCGCGUGAGGGAAGAAGGUCGUGGGAGCGAAGAACGCUGUUAGGAGGGAAGAACAAAUGGGUAAGGAACUAGGCACGUCGUGACGGUACCUGGACAGAAAGCACCGGCUAACUACGUG